CCUCUAUCAUACGGGAUAUGAAUAUUCGCAGACGGUCUAUUUAAUCUGCCAGAGAAAGCAGGGAAUGUUACAGGCGCAAGGAUUUAAUAUCCAGCCAUUAAAUGCACAGCACACGCCGGUAACCUUAGAAAUUAAAUUAACCCUGUAACACCGAGCCAGAGAUUUAUCCUCCUGGGAACUAGAGUGUCACCUUUUCCUCGACGCCCAAGCCAGCGUUAUAUACACACAUAUCUAAAUAGAACAGAACUUGAGGAGGAAUAUUCAUAUCAAGACAGCAUUUUAAGGUUUUCAUUAUUCCACUAGUGACCCAUGAAAGGGUUAAGCAAUGGCUACGUGCCGAAUGCUAUGAGAAUUAGUCCCUUUAAAGGGUUUUAUAUUGAUGGAGAAGCGAGAGGGUACACAUGGAGAGGUUAUAACCUCAUAAAGUCUGAGAGUGCAAAUACCAUUCAAGGGAGAGACA
Non-coding RNA from Pelobates cultripes (western spadefoot toad), 460 nucleotides. The record is from the annotation of a GenBank genome assembly. NCBI's taxonomy places the organism in Eukaryota, Metazoa, Chordata, Amphibia, Anura, Pelobatidae.